This is a long non-coding RNA of Cervus elaphus (red deer), 368 nucleotides long. RefSeq lists it as uncharacterized. NCBI's taxonomy places the organism in Eukaryota, Metazoa, Chordata, Mammalia, Artiodactyla, Cervidae. The record is from RefSeq and is a predicted model, not a curated record. The transcript has 3 exons.
GUUUCUUCUAACAGUGGAGGCAGAAACCCUCCAAAGUGACUUAAUAAUUCUGUAUUAGCAGCCAGGGCAAAAUGUAGUGUGGGGGAGGGAAGCAUCUUCCUGGCGUUGCUUCCUUGAUGAGGUGAAAUUUGUGUGGGGCUUGAAGGAGAAACCAUGCACUUGGAAAACAGUUGGAAUGAAAGGAAAAGCAGAUGAGUCUUCCUGCUAAACUAAUUUCUGGUGCGUCUCGCCUUGAAGUGCCUUAAACGCAUGUUGGUGACCAAGAAGAAACUCAGAAAAGAGGAAGGCCUAGUGGAGAUGCGGAGACAAAGCCCCAUGGACUGUAAUCUGCCAGACUCCUCUGUCCAUGAGAUUCUCCAGGCAAGAAU